GAUCUCUUACCACGAUUCCUGCACAUUGCCUAAAUGGUUUCACUGGUUCCAGUCAGUGCUUCAGCUAUGAGAGCCACAGUAUUACAGGCUUUGGCUAUGCUGCAAACUUGUAUUCGACAAAGACGUUAGAAAAUGGAUGGAUGGAUUAAAGAAAUGACCAACAACAGUCAAUCCUGCUACAGCAGUGAUCUUCGCUCCUGGUGCUCGAGAGGCUCAGGAAAGGCUCCUGGCUUCUAUUUCACCAACAUGUGUCUUGUCCCUGAGUGGUGUUACAGCCUCCCCAGCUAAUGAUGAAUGCCAUUCUGCCCCUGCUGGGAUUUGAUCAUGGCCACUGAAUCACUCGGGUUAUUCCCAGAGAGCAGAGAAUUCCUCUGCUCCCAAAGGCUGCGUCUCCCGCCGUGGGGGAAGUUAGUGUUAUCCUUCC
Molecule: long non-coding RNA, 424 nt
Organism: Lepisosteus oculatus (spotted gar)
Lineage: Eukaryota; Metazoa; Chordata; Actinopteri; Semionotiformes; Lepisosteidae
Source: RefSeq, a predicted model, not a curated record